RNAcentral lists this small nuclear RNA (18 nucleotides) under Arabidopsis thaliana (thale cress). Its description in RNAcentral is "snRNA_05091". Lineage: Eukaryota; Viridiplantae; Streptophyta; Magnoliopsida; Brassicales; Brassicaceae. The record is from RNAcentral.
AAGACGUGUGUGUCAAGC